RNAcentral lists this transfer RNA (74 nucleotides) under Candidatus Parcubacteria bacterium. Its description in RNAcentral is "tRNA-Gln". It matches the Rfam family "tRNA". Rfam says of the family: Transfer RNA (tRNA) molecules are approximately 80 nucleotides in length. Lineage: Bacteria; Candidatus Parcubacteria. The record is from RNAcentral.
UGCGGGGUCGUCUAACGGUAGGACAGCGGCCUUUGGAGCCGUUGAUGUUGGUUCGAAUCCAGCCCCCGCAGCCA